RNAcentral lists this ribosomal RNA (379 nucleotides) under uncultured eukaryote. RNAcentral describes it as "partial 18S ribosomal RNA". It matches the Rfam family "Eukaryotic small subunit ribosomal RNA", at positions 592 to 976 of the family's 1831-position model. The record is from RNAcentral.
CAAUAGCGUAUAUUUAAGUUGUUGCAGUUAAAAAGCUCGUAGUUGGAUUUCGGGUAGGAUUUGCCGGUCCGUCUUUGAGAUGUGUACUGGUAAGUCCUAUCUUCUUGUCGGGGACCAGCUCCUGGGCUUCACUGUCCGGGACUGGGAGCCGACGAAGUUACUUUGAGUAAAUUAGAGUGUUCAAAGCAAGCCUUCGCUCUGAAUAUAAUAGCAUGGGAUAACACGACAGGACUCUGGCCUAUCGUGUUGGUCUGUAGGACCGGAGUAAUGAUUAAGAGGAACAGUCGGGGGCAUUCGUAUUCCAUUGUCAGAGGUGAAAUUCUUAGAUUUAUGGAAGACGAACAUCUGCGAAAGCAUUUGCCAAGGAUGUUUUCAUUGA